Molecule: long non-coding RNA, 825 nt
Organism: Salvelinus fontinalis (brook trout)
Lineage: Eukaryota; Metazoa; Chordata; Actinopteri; Salmoniformes; Salmonidae
Exons: 2
Source: RefSeq, a predicted model, not a curated record
UCUCGCUGUCACCUUGCGGGGGGCCCUGUGAAAAUACAUACAAAUACACUACGCUACUACUCAGACUUUUUACUUAUUGAAGUGUUACAUUUGAAUUGAGUAUGACUGCUGAGUAUGACUGUCGAAUAGGUAACUAUAAGUGUAAAAAGUGGUGCUCUCUCUUUUCCCAAAGUGUUCUGGAGUCCGUCCUCAGCUGGCAGAUGACAUGGAGACACGACCUGAGUCAGGUGAAGAUGAGGAGGCUUACAGAGGAACUGAGAGCUUCCCUGAACUCCUGAGUCACCCUGGCUUGUCGUCGGGCAGAGCAGAGAGUGUUUUUGACUGCCCUUUUGGCUCAUAUUUAAACAUGGAUCGGCAGCUAACACAAUGCAUGUAGUGCAGUAGAGAAGUCGAAUAUCUGACCCUUUAUCAGGAGAAUAUCUGCCUACUGGAGGAUGAAAAUAAUGACCUUUGGAUUGCUGGGUUUAAAACCAAGGGGGAGUUGUCUGUUAUUGUAUGAUACUUCAGUGAAAUUUCAUUAAUAAAACUAUUUUGAAGCUCAUCCAAAUUGCUAUCUAGAUUUCCUUUCUAAUAGGUGUGCAAAAGCUAUUUGGAACAGUUUGAACGCACAGAAAGUACAAAGGCUAUAAAGCCAAAUGUCUGCAUUUUACCCCUUGCUGCACAAUAAAAAAUCCUUAAAGAAUUGUUAAAGAAGAAUCUUUGAUUCUUUGUACUUAAUGUGUGUGAAAUAUUGGAGUAUGUGAAGCUAAAACAAAACAUUUGAAUGAUUUAUAUCUGAAAAAUGGAUGAAUAAUUUAUUAUGAAAAUAAAGUAGAAAGUUGAAAA